GUCCUCAGCCACACCACCCUGAGUGCUUCCAAUCUUGUCUGAUCCCAGAAGCCAAGCACAGUUAGGGCUGCUUGGUACCUGAAUGGGAGAAAAUGGAGCAGAGAUGAUGGGAACC
RNAcentral lists this ribosomal RNA (115 nucleotides) under Octodon degus (degu). Lineage: Eukaryota; Metazoa; Chordata; Mammalia; Rodentia; Octodontidae. The record is from RNAcentral.